UCUCCGUUGGUGAACCUGCGGAGGGAUCAUUACAGAGUUAUCUAACUCCCAAACCCAUGCGGACUUACCAUUUGUUGCCUCAUCAGAGCCUACCCGGUAACUGUUCGGAGAAGCUACCCUGUAGCUACCCUGUAACGGCCUACCCUGUAACGCACUGCCGGUGGACUUUUAAACUCUUGUUAUUUUAUAGUAAUCUGAGCGUCUUAUUUUAAUAAGUCAAAACUUUCAACAACGGAUCUCUUGGUUCUGGCAUCGAUGAAGAACGCAGC
Molecule: unclassified non-coding RNA, 269 nt
Filed under: uncultured fungus
Lineage: Eukaryota; Fungi
Description: sequence contains ITS1, 5.8S rRNA gene
Rfam family: 5.8S ribosomal RNA (bases 221-269)
Source: RNAcentral